Ctenocephalides felis (cat flea) is the source of this 372-nucleotide long non-coding RNA. RefSeq lists it as uncharacterized. The record is from RefSeq and is a predicted model, not a curated record. The transcript is spliced from 3 exons. NCBI's taxonomy places the organism in Eukaryota, Metazoa, Arthropoda, Insecta, Siphonaptera, Pulicidae.
AACAACAAUAUUUGGAACGCUAACAUGUAUUUUCUUAUUUCAGAUUCUUCCAAUUCCAACAUCAUUCCACCGAAUUGACACCACAUCGACCCCUUUGUCAGGGACUUCUCUCUCUAAUAAUUCAGUAUGUAUCUGUCUAUAACAACAAAAAUGUCUGCAUCGCUAACAUGUAUUCUUUUUUCAGAUUCUUCCAAUUCCACUAUCAAUGAACCAAAUAGACACAUCAACCUCUUCAUCAGGGACUUCUCUCUCUAAUAAUACAAUUCUUCCAAUUCCACUAUCAACGCACCAAAUAGACACCACAUCAACCUCUUCAUCAGGGACUUCUCUCUCUAAUAAUACAAUCCUUCCAAUUCCACCAUCAACGCAUCA